UACGAAGGGGGCUAGCGUUGUUCGGAAUUACUGGGCGUAAAGCGCACGUAGGCGGACUGUUAAGUCGGGGGUGAAAUCCUGGAGCUCAACUCCAGAACUGCCUUCGAUACUGGAAAGCUCGAGUCCGGGAGAGGUGAGUGGAACUGCGAGUGUAGAGGUGAAAUUCGUAGAUAUUCGCAAGAACACCAGUGGCGAAGGCGGCUCACUGGCCCGGUACUGACGCUGAGGUGCGAAAGCGUGGGGAGCGAACAGG
This 253-nucleotide ribosomal RNA is filed under the name uncultured bacterium. RNAcentral's name for it is "partial 16S ribosomal RNA". It matches the Rfam family "Bacterial small subunit ribosomal RNA", at positions 524 to 776 of the family's 1533-position model. The record is from RNAcentral.